CGCAUUAUCCCGAGCGCUGAGUGCAGCGCUCUGCACAUAGUCAGCGCCCAACAAAUCCGCCUGAAUGAAAGACGAAGCCGCCCUCCCGCAUCCCUCCCACGGGCGCGGCUGCUCUUUUUGGAUGGCGCUUUCCCCGAGCGCUCAGUGCAGUGCUCCGCACACGGUAAGCGCUCCACACAUAGGACCGAAGGAAGGAAAGAAGGAAGGAAAGCGUGGUCCGGCUGCUCCCCCCUCCCUCCCCGGGGUGUGGGCGGGGGGGGGGGGGGAGAGAGGAUGGUGACGCGGUUGCCAUAGCUACGGCACCUGCGCCUGGCCGCCGCCGGGAGGGAGCGGCUCCACAGCGCCCCCCCGGCUCCUGGCGGACGCCGGGCGCGCUGCAGGGAGGCCCGAGCCCCGGCGGGCGGCGCCUGCGCACUGGGCUCCGCUCGGUGCCCGCUGUCCGUCCGUCCGUCCGUCUGCCCGUCCUUGCCCCUGUCUGUCCGUGCCCGUGCCCGUGCCCGUGCCCGUGCCCCUGCCGGUGCCCCCGCCCGCGCCCUCCCCUAGCGGCGGCCGCUGGCUCUGCCCCCCGUCCGUCCGUCCCCGGCGUUGGGCGGGGCUCCGGGGGAGGGAGGGAGGGAGGAGGAGGAGGAGGAGGAGGAAGGAGGCGGGGGGCGGCCGUCCCUGGCCGGGCAAGGCGGAGCCUGAGUCCGCGGGCAGCCCGCCCCAGCCGGAUCGGGAUCAGCGGGAUCGAUCGGGAUCGGCGGGAUCGAUCGGGAUCUAGCGGGAUCAUCGGGCUCGGCGGCCGCCCCUGCCCGCUCGCUCGCUCGCUCGCUCGCUCGCAGCCGCCGGCCGGGGCCGUGGCCGUGGCCGUGGCCGUGGCGCUGAGCCGCUCCCCUCGGCUCGGGCUGGUCCCGCCGGCCCCGCUCCCCGGGACCGGCCGGCAGGAGCCCGGGAGCUCCGGAGGCAGCGGGAGGACGAGGACCAGGACCAGGACCAGGACCAGGACCAGGACCAGGACCAGGACGAGGAGCCCCGCCGGGAAGACCCCCGGGAGCAGCACAGGAGGCGGCGGCGAGGGCACGGAGCAUCUCAGCCUUCCUCCCGUAUCACGACCCACCCCGGGAGACAGGCGUGUGCAGCUGCUUUCAGUACCUCUGUCCUCACCGUCAACGUUUCGCCAUCUUUAA
RNAcentral lists this long non-coding RNA (1166 nucleotides) under Ornithorhynchus anatinus (platypus). Its description in RNAcentral is "lncRNA (ENSOANG00000042896.1)". Lineage: Eukaryota; Metazoa; Chordata; Mammalia; Monotremata; Ornithorhynchidae. The record is from RNAcentral.